RNAcentral lists this ribosomal RNA (499 nucleotides) under uncultured bacterium. Its description in RNAcentral is "bacterial SSU rRNA". It matches the Rfam family "Bacterial small subunit ribosomal RNA", at positions 28 to 526 of the family's 1533-position model. The record is from RNAcentral.
GACGAACGCUGGCGGCGUGCCUAACACAUGCAAGUCGAACGAAGCACCAAAGCAGAAAUUUUCGGAUGGAAGUGGCGGAUGACUGAGUGGCGGACGGGUGAGUAACGCGUGAGCAACCUGCCUUUCAGAGGGGGAUAGCGUCUGGAAACGGACGGUAAUACCGCAUAACGUAUCAUGUCCACAUGGACAGAAUACCAAAGAUUUAUCGCUGAAAGAUGGGCUCGCGUUGGAUUAGAUAGUUGGUGGGGUAACGGCCUACCAAGUCAACGAUCCAUAGCCGGACUGAGAGGUUGAACGGCCACAUUGGGACUGAGACACGGCCCAGACUCCUACGGGAGGCAGCAGUGAGGGAUAUUGGGCAAUGGGGGGAACCCUGACCCAGCAACGCCGCGUGAGGGAAGACGGUUUUCGGAUUGUAAACCUCUGUCCUCUGUGAAGAUAAUGACGGUAGCAGAGGAGGAAGCUCCGGCUAACUACGUGCCAGCCGCCGCCGUAAAAC